RNAcentral lists this long non-coding RNA (2775 nucleotides) under Limulus polyphemus (Atlantic horseshoe crab). RNAcentral describes it as "uncharacterized LOC111084431". The record is from RNAcentral. Lineage: Eukaryota; Metazoa; Arthropoda; Merostomata; Xiphosura; Limulidae.
CGAAAAGUCCAGUUACCAGUACAACUGUUAGUAAUGUUGAUCGUGAGAAUAGCAUUGAGAACGGUAUCAUUUCACCAUAUUUGCUGCAUGCAUGGGAUCACUGUUUUGCUGGAAAAUGAAUUCUUGUCCAAGAGGUCUUAUUUCUAAAGGAAUGAUAUGACGGAUAAGAUUGUGCAUGUACCUAUUCGAAUUCAGGGUGCCAUCAAUUUUGCAUAGUUUUCCAACAACACUGCCCGAGAUGUAGCCCACACUUGUACUGGACCCUCAGAAUUGUCUCACUCUAGAUAUUGGACAUUCUCUUCUCUCCCAUUGAACAAACUAUCUUUGAUUAUUACGAUACAAUUUUAAUAAGAUUUAUCUGUAAAGAGUACCCAACUUUAGCUCUGAUCAUCCAAUUUCAGUUUAUUGGUUGUCUCCUAAGCAGUGGUUUUUGAGCAGCUACACAUCCACUGAGACCAAAAAUGUGCUAAUAUGUAUCUUAUUGUUCUGGAGGUGACAUUCAUACCUGGACAUAUAGCUAUCUCUAUUGGGUUGUUGUGUAUCAUGUAAAGAGCACCCUGAAUUACUUAACAUCACUUUUUAAUAGUUUGGGCUUUCUACCUUGACCACUUCUAUUAUCAACAGUACUAGACUCAAUAAUCCUUCUUCAGAAUUUCCAUACACAAGAUUUAAUAACUCAAAAACAAAACUAAACCUACCAAGAAAUCAUGAAUCUACUAUCACUGAAUGUUAUGGAGAUUAACCCUAUCAGACCUUGUGGAGUUUUCUGCUGCUCAAUAGGGAAAUUGCAUCAGUGAAUUAAUUAAAUUAAAGAAAUUAUUCAAAGCCUUUUUCAACUUUUGUUUUUACAUAUUGGUAUAAAUUUAAAUGUCUCUACUAAAUUGUUUUAUUUAAUUAUGUUUAAAGAGAGUUUAGAAAAAAAAUCCAAAAUAUGUUUUAGGCUGCAAAUAAGUGCCCUCUAUAAAGUAAAACAAUAGUCUUUGGAAAUUUUUAAAACUUCACCAUAAUUACAGCUAUGUAUGCCAUCUAUGAUCAAUAUUCCAACUAUUUAGGACAGCUUAGUCUAUAAAUCAAUGCUCCUGAGCACAUACAGUUUUAAACAUUUUAACAAUGUAUGCCUCAAUCGGCAUGAUCUGAUGUAACAAUCUAUCUCAUGUUCGACAAAUGAUAGGAUGAUAAACUAAGCACGUGAUGACAGCCAAUUUUAUGUGCUUUGAAAUGGUAUACAGAAUGUGUGAUUGACACUAGUACUUGUGAAGUAGUUGAGAGAUAUAAAGAAGGAAGACAGUUUGUAACAAUAUUUGACAUAAACAUCUUUGAUUUUAAUUAAUUAUUUAUUUAUAACCUCUAAGAACAUGAUAUAUCAUUUAAAUAUUUAUUUUAAUUAUUAUAUUGUGGUGUCAACUCAAAAUAAGUAUUUUUCUGGAACAAAAAUUUAUUUAUGAGUGUUAUGCUUAGAAAAAUUUAGCUUCAAUGAUGCCAAAUGCAAGACCUUAGAAGUUAAUUAGGCUAAGCGAAAGAUGUUCUGUGUAUGUUACUGGCAAAUGAACACUUAUUCAUACUGUUGACAUGGUUGUUUUAUUAGCUUAAUAGACCUUAGGGUACAGUCAAAGACAAAUUUUAAAUAAAUACAAGUGAACUUAUGGAACAAGUUUAAAAAUCAGUUAAGUGUAUGCGAGUGAAAUCCUAAAUAAGAAUAAAAAAUGCAUACUAGCUUAUUGUUUUGGUUUGUUUAGAAAUAUUAUUUUUUGUUCUUAUAUAAUAAUUGUGCACAAAAGGAACGUUAGUGACAAAAAAACUUAAAAAUAGACAAAAUUUAUACCUUAUGGAAUAAUAAAAUGUUAUUAUGGAUCUUUAGAAUAAUGUACUAAAACUCGCUCAAAUGUAAGUAUUUUACUUAUUACUUGUAAGAACCAUUUCCUAAUACAAUUUUCCCAAGAUUUCAAAAAUGAUAAUGCACAAAAACUAAAUAUAUCAAAAUUUGAGAUUUUUUUUUCUUUCUGAAGCUGCAUAAAUUUCAGAAAAUUCCUGUUAAGUUUCAAACAAUUUCAUCUACUAGUUUUAUUUUUGGAAUGAAGUAUGAUGAGAACUACAUAACUUGCUGGGUCUGGUAGGGUUAAGAAUUACCUGUUUCAUAUUUUAGAAAUAAACUGUACUAAUUUUGUUUCCAGCUCUCAUACGUAGUAUACAUAAUCUAUUUUACUGUUUCUAGAAACUUCAUUCAGGUAUCCCAACUACAACGAACAGAGGAAAUGACUAUUAUGCUUACAUCAAACAUUUGUAGAAGUCUCAUACUCCAGAGGAGAUUUUAAAAAAGAUAGAAGGCCCUGAUCUGAAACCUGUUGAUCUAUUGGAUGUUUUCUUAGUCCUGAUCUAGAAACUGUUGUUCUGUUGGGUGUUUUCUAAUACCUGGUCCAGAAACUGUUGCUCUGUUGGAUGUUUUUAAGACCUGUUCUAGAACCUGCUGUUUUGUUGGGGGUGUUUUUUAACACCUGAUCUAAAAACUGUUGGGUAUUUUCUAACACCCGAUCUAGAAACUGUUGUUCUGUCGGGUGUUUUUAGGACCUGGUCUAGAAGCUCUCUUACUAAUAUAAUAUCAUAAAGUAGGGUUAAAGUUUCAAGGUCUUGAUCAUUGUCAAAUAAACAUUUCAGUGAAUUUUAUGCUAGUCUGUGGAAAUCAUAAAUAACAUUAUAUUGUAUUUUUCUGUGAUAUUUUUCUUGUCAAAAUGAACAGUAAUUGUAACAAAAUGCUAUUAAAGUACCUUUAUUUUUUGA